UUCACUCUCUUCUUUAAAUCUAUAUUUUACUCUGGGUAAAAUAUUUAUUUUCUAUAUUUUACACUGACCUAAAUGUCCUGGCUUCCCAAGCAUGCAUCUGGGGCACUUCUCAAGUCCCAGAACUGUGCAGAAAGUGACUAAGCAGCGCAGUCACAUUUCAGAGUGGCAAGAUGGCUGCUCACUGAGGUGACCAGGUCUGCUGCAGGCCUGUUCUGCUGCAGAGCAGGGAUGGCAGCGUAUGGCUGCAUACCUGGGAAUUCCUGAGCCAGGAAAAACCCAUGGGAGUGCAGGCACCUGCCAGGAGCUGGCAGUUCUCAGAGAGUGGCUGAUAAAUCGUGGACAGGGCCGGGAAUAACGUCUGCCAUGCCUGUCUGUACAAGCUGCAGCCAACUGGGGAGGUAAACAGCUCCUCUGGGUGCUGAAGAGAGGCUGCAGUGCAGGCCUCAGCCUGCAGGGAGGCCCAGGCCUCCUGCGUAGGGGCAGGCACAGCUACACCUGCCAAAGCUGUGCCCAGCUGCUGCUGCUGCCUUGUCUUGGAGUGCUUGCAGAAUCAUGGUGCAAAUUUUGUUAUGUGAUCUACGAUGCCUGGAAAAGUUUGUAGCGAAGAUCACUACAUCUCACAAAAAGUGAAUAAAAAGAAGAGGAUUGGUAUUUCUGGAAAUGACUGUUCAUUGAAAAUUCAGCAACGUGGCCUUAUAAUCUUCAGAUAUGAAUUUUCUGUAAACGUGUUACUGAGUCCCUGUAGUAGAAGACUUGGAAGAAAUAAACAGAAAAGUAAUAGAAAUAUUGGAAUACAUAUUUUUCUUUAUUGUUUUUGAGGAACUUGAAAACAGGACAGGUCACCUUCAACUCAGUGUUUAAAGAGGCACUUAAGAAUCAGGAUCUCAUUGGCAUCAGUAUGUUUUACACCUGAACUUGAAAAGUGUCUCAAAGUCUUGUUAAUAUUUGAAAAAAUAUUUCAAGGACCUUAGAACAAAAGGAAUACUUUAAUAUUUCAAUGGAAAGAAGAAUAUCAUGUCUACUGCCAGAAAUAUGGACUGCGUUUUGAAAUUUGCAUUGUAUUAGACAAUAUUUGUAAUUCAGUGGGGGUAGUAAGGGCUCCCGUGGUGUAGCUGGACACUAGCAUCUGUUUGGACUUUCCAUUUGCAUAUUCAGACCACAAUUCUGCCAUAGCACAGAAGUAAAGCCUAGAAAAUAAUUAUUCAUAUGUUUCCAGUUGUAUCUUUUACCCAAACUUCAUUUUAUUUUUCUCCUAGAAUGCACAGACGGACUAAGGGUUGAUUAGCUCACUGGCCGUACUUCAUUAUGAAACAGUAUAUAAUUCAUGUUUAAAAAUUCUUUUCCCUUAGAUCCUUUCCCCGCUUGCCAAAAAGGAAAGUGUUUUGCACUUGUAUUUAUGUCUCUCAGAUAUAUUUUUGAUUUAUUUGAUUUAACUAUCCAGUGAAUUCUAGUCAACAUGGAUUUUAAAUACUAAUAAAAGUAAAGUUGAG
This 1490-nucleotide long non-coding RNA is filed under the name Numida meleagris (helmeted guineafowl). RNAcentral describes it as "lncRNA (ENSNMEG00000004505.1)". The record is from RNAcentral. Lineage: Eukaryota; Metazoa; Chordata; Aves; Galliformes; Numididae.